RNAcentral lists this ribosomal RNA (520 nucleotides) under uncultured bacterium. RNAcentral describes it as "partial 16S ribosomal RNA". It matches the Rfam family "Bacterial small subunit ribosomal RNA", at positions 28 to 523 of the family's 1533-position model. The record is from RNAcentral.
GACGAACGCUGGCGGCGUGCUUAACACAUGCAAGUCGAACGGAGAAUUUUAUUUCGGUAGAAUUCUUAGUGGCGAACGGGUGAGUAACGCGUAGACAACCUGCCUCUUAGAUGGGGACAACAUCGCGAAAGCGGUGCUAAUACCGAAUGAAGUGGAGCUUCCGCAUGGAAGCAUCACCAAAGGUGGCCUCUAUUUAUAAGCUACCACUGAGAGACGGGUCUGCGUCUGAUUAGCUCGGUGGCGGGGUAAUGGCCCACCAAGGCGACGAUCAGUAGCCGGUCUGAGAGGAUGAACGGCCACAUUGGGACUGAGACACGGCCCAAACUCCUACGGGAGGCAGCAGUGGGGAAUCUUCCGCAAUGGACGAAAGUCUGACGGAGCAACGCCGCGUGAGUGAAGAAGGUUUUCGGAUCGUAAAGCUCUGUUGUUUGAGACGAAUGUGCAGACUUUGAAUAAGGGUUUGUAAUGACGGUAUUAAACGAGAAAGCCACGGCUAACUACGUGCCAGCAGCCGCCGUAA